This is a non-coding RNA of Electrophorus electricus (electric eel), 461 nucleotides long. The record is from RefSeq and is a predicted model, not a curated record. Lineage: Eukaryota; Metazoa; Chordata; Actinopteri; Gymnotiformes; Gymnotidae.
GAUAGAUACCAAGCCACUGAAAAUGACAAAUCUUUCAUUCCGACGGUCCGAAGGUGUUCAACAAAACAAUCAGCAAAUCAGAAAAGCAGAUUGCAUCUCUUACAAAUAAUACUGUGGACAGUUCCCUCAGUGCAUAAGCAGGAAUAGGUAAAAAUCGGCGCGUUCACGGCAGAUGCAGGCAGCCGUCCAACCUUAGCACGGACAUUUCCAAAGCAACCAGGACACCUUUCAAGAAACAGUGAUGAGGCUCCUGUUGAAAACACCUCCCCAUGCAACCGCAUUAACUACUUUUGAAGUCAUUAGUGAAUUAUACUUGUUUGAGCGUGUUAAUGCGGUUCUAGAGGAAACUGCACCAAUCAGAUGGAAAUUUCUUAUCCCUGAUAGGGCUGUUGUUAAGGGUUUUCUGGCCACCUCAGACUGAACUGUGGUACUUUAUCAUAUUAAAAUUGUAAUAAAAUGCA